RNAcentral lists this ribosomal RNA (492 nucleotides) under uncultured bacterium. RNAcentral's name for it is "partial 16S ribosomal RNA". It matches the Rfam family "Bacterial small subunit ribosomal RNA", at positions 29 to 507 of the family's 1533-position model. The record is from RNAcentral.
AGUGAACGCUGGCGGUAGGCCUAACACAUGCAAGUCGAACGGCAGCACAGUAAGAGCUUGCUCUUACGGGUGGCGAGUGGCGGACGGGUGAGGAAUACAUCGGAAUCUACUUUUUCGUGGGGGAUAACGUAGGGAAACUUACGCUAAUACCGCAUACGACCUACGGGUGAAAGCAGGGGAUCUUCGGACCUUGCGCGAUUGAAUGAGCCGAUGUCGGAUUAGCUAGUUGGCGGGGUAAAGGCCCACCAAGGCGACGAUCCGUAGCUGGUCUGAGAGGAUGAUCAGCCACACUGGAACUGAGACACGGUCCAGACCCCUACGGGAGUCAGCAGUGCGCAAUAUUGGACAAUGGGCGCAAGCCUGAUCCAGCCAUACCGCGUGGGUGAAGAAGGCCUUCGGGUUGUAAAGCCCUUUUGUUGGGAAAGAAAAGCAGCAGGUUAAUACCCCGCUGUUCUGACGGUACCCAAAGAAUAAGCACCGGCUAACUUCGUG